RNAcentral lists this ribosomal RNA (433 nucleotides) under uncultured bacterium. RNAcentral's name for it is "partial 16S ribosomal RNA". It matches the Rfam family "Bacterial small subunit ribosomal RNA", at positions 29 to 507 of the family's 1533-position model. The record is from RNAcentral.
AGCGAACGCUGGCGGCAGGCCUAACACAUGCAGGUCGAACGAACUCUUCGGAUUUAGUGGCGGACGGGUGCGUAACACGUGGGAACGUGCCUUUUGGUUCGGAAUAACUCAGGGAAAGUUGUGCUAAUACCGGAUGUGGUCUUCGGGGGAAAGAUUUAUCGCCAUUAGAUCGGCCCGCGUCUGAUUAGCUAGUUGGUGAGGUAACGGCCCACCAAGGCGACGAUCAGUAGCUGGUCUGAGAGGAUGACCAGCCACACUGGGACUGAGACACGGCCCAGACUCCUACGGGAGGCAGCAGUGGGGAAUCUUGCGCAAUGGGCGAAAGCCUGACGCAGCCAUGCCGCGUGAGUGAUGAAGGUCUUAGGAUUGUAAAGCUCUUUCACCCGGGACGAUAAUGACGGUACCCGGAGAAGAAGCCCCGGCUAACUUCGUG